ACACCUCAACUCUCAUGGUUUGCCAUGAUGAGCUUGGACUUUGGGGGUCUUGCUGGCCUGUUGGUCGGCUCCUCUCAAAUGAAUCAGCUUGCCAGUGUUUGGUGGCAUCACAGGUGUGAUAACUAUCUACGCUUGUCGCCGUCCGCCAGGUAACCUUCAGCGAUGGAGGUUCGCUGGAGCUCAUAGACGUCUCUCCUCAGCGAGGACAGCUUUUGAAC
RNAcentral lists this unclassified non-coding RNA (218 nucleotides) under uncultured Tomentella. RNAcentral describes it as "sequence contains ITS2". The record is from RNAcentral. Lineage: Eukaryota; Fungi; Basidiomycota; Agaricomycetes; Thelephorales; Thelephoraceae.